Molecule: ribosomal RNA, 417 nt
Filed under: uncultured bacterium
Lineage: Bacteria
Description: bacterial SSU rRNA
Rfam family: Bacterial small subunit ribosomal RNA
Source: RNAcentral
AAUCAACGCUGGCGGCGUGCCUCAGACAUGCAAGUCGAACGAUUAAAGCUCUCUUCGGAGAGUGUAUAGAGUGGCGCACGGGUGAGUAACACGUAAGUAAUCUACCUUCGAGUGGGAAUAACGUCCGGAAACGGACGCUAAUACCGCAUAAUGCAGCGGCAUCGCAAGAUGACAGUUGUUAAAGAUUUAUCGCUUGAAGAGGAGCUUGCGGCAGAUUAGCUAGUUGGUAAGGUAAUGGCUUACCAAGGCUACGAUCUGUAACCGGUCUAAGAGGACGGUCGGUCACACUGACACUGAAUAACGGGUCAGACUCCUACGGGAGGCAGCAGUCGGGAAUUUUGGGCAAUGGGCGAAAGCCUGACCCAGCAACGCCGCGUGAAGGAUGAAGUAUUUCGGUAUGUAAACUUCGAAAGAAUA